CUGGAUUCUUUCUCCGCUACUGAGACACGGCGGGUAGGUCCACAGGCAGAUCCAACUGGGAGUUGAAGUGUGAGUGAGAGUGAAGAGGAACCAGCAGGCUUCCGGAGGGUUGUGUGGUCAGUGACUCAGAGUGAGAAGGCCCUCGAAGUCGUCGUCCCUCUCAUGCGGUGCCACGCCCAUGGACCUUCUUGUCUCGUCACGGCCAUAACUAGGGAGGAAGGAGGGCCGAGGAGUGGAGGGGCUCAGGCGAAGCUGGGGUGCUGUUGGGGGUAUCCGAGUCCCAGAAGCACCUGGAACCCCGACAGAAGAUUCUGGACUCCCCAGACGGGACCAGGAGAGGGACGGCAUGAGCGACACACACAAACACAGAACCACACAGCCAGUCCCAGGAGCCCAGUAAUGGAGAGCCCCAAAAAGAAGAACCAGCAGCUGAAAGUCGGGAUCCUACACCUGGGCAGCAGACAGAAGAAGAUCAGGAUACAGCUGAGAUCCCAGUGCGCGACAUGGAAGGUGAUCUGCAAGAGCUGCAUCAGUCAAACACCGGGGAUAAAUCUGGAUUUGGGUUCCGGCGUCAAGGUGAAGAUAAUACCUAAAGAGGAACACUGUAAAAUGCCAGAAGCAGGUGAAGAGCAACCACAAGUUUAAAUGAAGACAAGCUGAAACAACGCAAGCUGGUUUUAUAUUAGAUAUUUGACUUAAACUAUCUCAAUAAAGUUUUGCAGCUUUCACCAAA
This is an RNA transcript of Homo sapiens (human), 733 nucleotides long. It is a transcript of the gene named X antigen family member 1A, with no coding region annotated. The record is from RefSeq and is marked reviewed. NCBI's taxonomy places the organism in Eukaryota, Metazoa, Chordata, Mammalia, Primates, Hominidae. The transcript is spliced from 4 exons.